This 1578-nucleotide long non-coding RNA is filed under the name Mytilus galloprovincialis (Mediterranean mussel). The record is from RNAcentral. Lineage: Eukaryota; Metazoa; Mollusca; Bivalvia; Mytilida; Mytilidae.
AGAUUGUUUUCAAAUUAUCAUAAUAAUGACACUAUUCAAUAGUUCAUAUUAUUUGUAAUAAUCGGAGUUUAUCUUAAGUCUCCUUAUAAAGUUGAACAGUGGUAAAAUAUACUGAUGUAACUUGAAUCUUAACUAGAUUUUUCUAACAAUAAUAAAUUUGAAUGUACAAUUAAGUUAAAUUCAAUGUAUUAGCAUUGGUAUCAAAGGAAUGAAUUAUUAUAUGGAUGUAAAUAGUGAUUGUUAACAUUGUUGUUCAUUAUCAUGGUGUACAGUUAUAACAUUACAUAUAUCUUUGUUGCAAAUUAUUGUUAUACCUUGAAAUUAUCAUCUGAGUCAACAGAUUUCAUUCAUUGUACAAAAUCACUUUGUAUUUAUAAAAUUGACAAAACAAAUGGCAGCAAUCGUAAUAAAUUUCAUUCCUUGUUUAAGAUAUUUCAAAUUUUGUCUUGUUCUUGUUCAUCAAACAUAGUUACCAUUAGAGCUAAAGACUACUGUUAUUAACAGCAAGAGUAUGUACUGUAUAUUUUAUAGAAAGUAGAUAAUCCAUAUGAAUGGACAUUUUUUUUAAAGGGAGAUUUCUUGUGCUUUGCAUACAUUGGCUUAAAUCAUAAAUUGAUUAUUUAUAAGGAAUACGAUGAAAAAGUUUAAGCUUGGAUGGACAUUUGGGUAUUUUACAGAACUUGUGCAAGACAUUAUUUGAAACAUUUUUUUGUUGGUUCUCAUGUUGAUGAAAAAUUGUACAUAUAUAAAGAAGAAAUAUUUAUUUUCAUGUUUUGUUGUUUUAUAUAAAAUAUUUUUUGUUUGGUGUGUUUAUACACAAUUUAUUAAAACAACCAAUUUAUUGGUGUAUUUUUUAAAGAUAAGGAUAAAAGUUCAUAAAAUUGACACAAAAACCUCACACAAAUUUCUUUCCAUAUGAUAAAAGGUUAAAGGGAGGAAAAUGUGAUGCCACAUUCAUUUAUGUUUAGAGUUUAUAUAUUGAAUUAUGUAAGGAGACUUCAUCCUCAAGAACUAUAAACAUUUAGUAAAACCAAAAUUAUCAGAAUAAAAAUUUGCUGCUACUCAUGCUAUUUAAGAAAAGAGAAUAUAAUUUUUAGAAUGAAAGGAGGAAUUCAGUUUAUUUCUUUUUGGUUUGUAAUGGAAGUAUUCAAUCAAAAUAAAAAAAAGACAGAAUAAUUAGUAAAUAAUAUUUUUCUUUGAAAAAAUGAUAAAUGUUUUAUUUAUUGGAGAUCAAUCAAUUUCUUGAAGUACAUCCCCUUGUUGAUAAAGUACAAGUAGUGGGUGCACGUAAUUUACAUUUCGAAAGUAUAUUAGUCAUCAACACUUGCUUUCAUUUCACUAUUAACUCAAAUGAAUCAAAAUAUGCCUUACAGCAUUACUACAAACUGCAGCAGUUUAUCAGUUCAUCAGUAUUGCCAAAAUUAUGCAACAUUAUGUUAUACCUGUAAGCAUACAUUGACAUUGUAAAUAUUUUGUAAGUGCUUUAUGAUUUUGCUGUGUUAAGCUUAUAUAGUCUCUUUACAUGAAACUGUAGUGCAAUCUAAAUCUGCAUUUUUGUGGAUAAAUAAAAUAUUUUAG